Molecule: unclassified non-coding RNA, 414 nt
Filed under: fungal sp.
Lineage: Eukaryota; Fungi
Description: partial internal transcribed spacer region
Rfam family: Eukaryotic small subunit ribosomal RNA (bases 1-46)
Source: RNAcentral
AAGUCGUAACAAGGUUUCCGUAGGUGAACCUGCGGAAGGAUCAUUCUUGUAUCAUUGUGUAUAUCAUUGUACACAAACUCUUGAUAUGAUAUCAUGCCUGUAUGAUAUUUUAUUUAAUUAUGUGAAACGUGCCAGUCUGUUGUUGCAUUGCGGCGUAGUGUGUGUAGCAACGUGUUUCUGUCAGCUCGCUGUCUCAUUGCGGGCACGCACUCUCGGGUGUUGCUUCGGUGAAGGAACAGCUUGGUGACAGCGUCGCAUUGCGCAGGCAUUUAAUGUCUGGAUUCCACGCAACAUCGCAAGCAAUUGCAGGCAACCGAUUGAUAUUUACUUUUUACUACAACAUUUACCUACUGUUGAUGUCAGAAUUAACUAUAAAAAUUAUGACAACUUUUAGCAACGGAUCUCUAGGCUCUC